AUAUCAGGAUUUAAAGGAACUGAAGACCCUUCAGAUGAUAAAUUACUUGAUGCUCCAUUUAUUUCGGACUGCAUAAGGAUGAAGAAAGUUUCAUCGGUGCCAUUGUAUGAACCAGAGAACUCAGAAAAUACACUAGAUGAACCCACUUCUGUCAAUCUGGAACGGAGCAGUGGUGUGAGGCAAUUGAGAAGCAUAUGCCUCUGAUUCUGCACCAUACUUCUGCAGUGGUUCGUGCUGCCGUAAAUGAUGUGCCUUCAGUUAGGUCAGCUGCUCGUCGAGCCCUUGGAGUCAUAUCAAUGUUUCCUCAAGUUUCUUAAAGGUUAAAUCAAAUGCUGUAAGGGCUCUGGGGAAUCUUUCAAGAUCUAUCAAAUAUUCAAAUAUAGAAGCGGUAGUGACAGGACACUAGACAAUAAUGGAUCGACAAUAAAGAGCACUAAACCUGACAAAAUACCAUCAAGCAAUUACAGGGCAGGAAGUCAAAGAGAUGUGUUAAUAUCAUGCCAUCCAGCUUCUUUGGGAGAUUCACGUUGGCUUGAGCAAGUUGUUCAGGCAUUGAUUUCUUGUGUUACGACUGGUAAUGUUAAGGUCCAAUGGAAUGUUUGUCAUGCUUUGAGCAACCUAUUUCUGAAUGAGACAUUAAGACUGCAAGAUAUGGAUUGGGCUUCAUCUAUGUUUAGUAUUCUUCUACUGCUAUUACGCGAUUCUUCCAACUUUAAGAUCAGGAUUCAAGCUGCUUGUGCUUUGGCCGUGCCAGCAUCAAUACUUGAUACAGAAAGCCUCAUUCCUUGAAGACUGGUUCAAGGCCCUUUGCUUGUCACUAGGAGAGACAACAAGUAGUCAAGCUGAACUUGAAGAUAAUAAAUCCAUCAGGAAUCAGAAGAAAGAGAUGAUAUGCAGCACAAUUGGGUCGCUAAUCCAAUUGUACAAUAGCAGGAAGCAUCAUGCAAUUGUGCAGAAAUUCGAGAAGUUAGCGAAUAGCAUCCAGUGAGUUCUCAGUGGACUUUCAUAUUCCUGCUGUACAUACCAACCCUGUGAUCAAGUUCCUUGCACAGCCACAUGAUGUACCGGAAAAAUGCUGCCAUUUGAAGGCAACAUUUUCACGGUGACACGGGAUCUCGGAGAUGCACUGGCAGCAUACGGAGGACUCUUAAGAGGAUCAUAUGAGAUUGAUUUUUGUUGUGCUUGUUUCUUGGCAUGGAAUGGAAGGGGUUAGAUAGGACCUAAUUCCUAAAUAGUGUCAACAAAUCUACGGCGUUGGGUGACCUUUGGAUGGUGAUUUGUGACUUCAUUUUUUCGACUGGCUCAUGAGAAGGGGUCGAGAUCGAGAGCUCUCUGUGCUCAUGCCCUUAAUCUUAGGUGCAGCCGCCUCCGCUGCGACACUCGACCGGAAGAUCCAGAUAGAGAAAACCCGGACAGCCGAACCCCGCGGCAAGGAAUCGUCCUCAUUAACGCAUGCCGUUGAAUGAAGGAUAUUCGGAUUUGGAAUCGUUGCUGCAGGGCUGGGUGGCAAGGAUGGUCAGCCACCGGCGUCGAAGGCGUCAAUCCACGCCAUGCCGUGUGCCAAGAUUUGGGAAUCAUAUUUGUUUUCAAAUUAUUGGUUGUGUAAAUUUCAACUUUGAUGAUGGUGAUGCAGAAAAAAAAAAGGCUGGUUGUAUGGGAUGGGGGUCGGUGAUUCAGAAAGAAUGGGAUGGCUGGUUGCGUUGAAGCUGGGAGAAACUUUUAGUUUGAUAGGAACGGUGGAAAAUUUUAUUUUUUAAAUUAUUAAUUUUUUAAUAUAUAUAUUUUAUUAUUUGUUUAAUGACACAUAAUAAAUUAUUUCAUGUACUGAU
Molecule: long non-coding RNA, 1829 nt
Organism: Pyrus x bretschneideri (Chinese white pear)
Lineage: Eukaryota; Viridiplantae; Streptophyta; Magnoliopsida; Rosales; Rosaceae
Exons: 7
Source: RefSeq, a predicted model, not a curated record